AGCGGCGGACGGGUGAGUAACACGUGGGUAACCUGCCCAAGAGACUGGGAUAACACCUGGAAACAGAUGCUAAUACCGGAUAACAACACUAGACGCAUGUCUAGAGUUUGAAAGAUGGUUCUGCUAUCACUCUUGGAUGGACCUGCGGUGCAUUAGCUAGUUGGUAAGGUAACGGCUUACCAAGGCAAUGAUGCAUAGCCGAGUUGAGAGACUGAUCGGCCACAUUGGGACUGAGACACGGCCCAAACUCCUACGGGAGGCAGCAGUAGGGAAUCUUCCACAAUGGACGAAAGUCUGAUGGAGCAACGCCGCGUGAGUGAAGAAGGGUUUCGGCUCGUAAAGCUCUGUUGGUAGUGAAGAAAGAUAGAGGUAGUAACUGGCCUUUAUUUGACGGUAAUUACUUAGAAAGUCACGGCUAACUACGUGCCAGCAGCCGCGGUAAUACGUAGGUGGCAAGCGUUGUCCGGAUUUAUUGGGCGUAAAGCGAGUGCAGGCGGUUCAAUAAGUCUGAUGUGAAAGCCUUCGGCUCAACCGGAGAAUUGCAUCAGAAACUGUUGAACUUGAGUGCAGAAGAGGAGAGUGGAACUCCAUGUGUAGCGGUGGAAUGCGUAGAUAUAUGGAAGAACACCAGUGGCGAAAGGCGGCUCUCUGGUCUGCAACUGACGCUGAGGCUCGAAAGCAUGGGUAGCGAACAGGAUUAGAUACCCUGGUAGUCCAUGCCGUAACGAUGAGUUGCUAAGUGU
Molecule: ribosomal RNA, 743 nt
Filed under: uncultured bacterium
Lineage: Bacteria
Description: bacterial SSU rRNA
Rfam family: Bacterial small subunit ribosomal RNA
Source: RNAcentral